This 457-nucleotide ribosomal RNA is filed under the name uncultured bacterium. RNAcentral's name for it is "bacterial SSU rRNA". It matches the Rfam family "Bacterial small subunit ribosomal RNA", at positions 28 to 473 of the family's 1533-position model. The record is from RNAcentral.
GAUGAACGCUAGCUACAGGCUUAACACAUGCAAGUCGAGGGGCAGCAUGGUCUUAGCUUGCUAAGGCCGAUGGCGACCGGCGCACGGGUGAGUAACACGUAUCCAACCCGCCGUCUACUCUUGGACAGCCUUCUGAAAGGAAGAUUAAUACAAGAUGGCAUCAUGAGUCCGCAUGUUCACAUGAUUAAAGGUAUUCCGGUAGACGAUGGGGAUGCGUUCCAUUAGAUAGUAGGCGGGGUAACGGCCCACCUAGUCUUCGAUGGAUAGGGGUUCUGAGAGGAAGGUCCCCCACAUUGGAACUGAGACACGGUCCAAACUCCUACGGGAGGCAGCAGUGAGGAAUAUUGGUCAAUGGGCGAGAGCCUGAACCAGCCAAGUCGCGUGGAGGAAGACUGCCCUACGGGUUGUAAACUCCUUUUACCNGGGAAUAACGGGGCGCUACGCGUAGCGCUGUGCA